This 735-nucleotide ribosomal RNA is filed under the name uncultured eukaryote. Its description in RNAcentral is "SSU rRNA". It matches the Rfam family "Eukaryotic small subunit ribosomal RNA", at positions 671 to 1426 of the family's 1831-position model. The record is from RNAcentral.
GGUGUUUACUGUCGAACUGAACACUCUACCGUUUACUGUCUGGUGGUGCUCUUCACCGAGUGUCACCAGUGGUCGGUACGUUUACUUUGAAAAAAUUAGAGUGCUCAAAGCGGUUUUUACACGACCGAAUACUGUUGCAUGGAAUAAUGAAAUAGGACUUUGGUUCUAUUUUGUUGGUCUUCGGAACCAAGGUAAUGAUUAAGAGGGACAGACGGGGGCAUUAGUAUUGCGACGCUAGAGGUGAAAUUCUUGGACCGUCGCAAGACUAACUAAAGCGAAAGCAUUUGCCAAGAAUGUUUUCAUUAAUCAAGAACGAAAGUUAGAGGUUCGAAGGCGAUCAGAUACCGCCCUAGUUCUAACCAUAAACGAUGCCAACCAGCAAUCAGCCUGUGUUCUCUUGAUGACACGGCUGGCGGCUUCCGGGAAACCAAAGUCUUUCGGUUCCAGGGGAAGUAUGGUUGCAAAGCUGAAACUUAAAGGAAUUGACGGAAGGGCACCACCAGGAGUGGAGCCUGCGGCUUAAUUUGACUCAACACGGGGAAACUCACCCGGCCCGGACACUGCGAGGAUUGACAGGUUGAAGCCCUUUCUUGAUUCAGUGGGUGGUGGUGCAUGGCCGUUCUUAGUUGGUGGAGUGAUUUGUCUGGUUAAUUCCGAUAACGAACGAGACUCUAGCCUACUAAUUAGACCGUGGCGUCCUCGUGCCGCCACGGCGCUUCCUAGAGGGACAGACGG